Molecule: transfer RNA, 75 nt
Filed under: Bacilli bacterium
Lineage: Bacteria; Bacillati; Bacillota; Bacilli
Also listed under: 1 other name
Description: tRNA-Gly
Rfam family: tRNA
About the family: Transfer RNA (tRNA) molecules are approximately 80 nucleotides in length.
Source: RNAcentral
GCGGGUAUAGUAUAAAGGCUAUUAUACCGCCUUGCCAUGGCGAAGAUGCCGGUUCGAUUCCGGUUACCCGCUCCA